RNAcentral lists this long non-coding RNA (1532 nucleotides) under Papio anubis (olive baboon). RNAcentral describes it as "lncRNA (ENSPANG00000050979.1)". The record is from RNAcentral. Lineage: Eukaryota; Metazoa; Chordata; Mammalia; Primates; Cercopithecidae.
AACUUUUCCAAAGUCGGGUUUGAUCAAAUGUUAUAAUUCGAAGCCUUGUAAAUGAAAAUCUGAAAGCAGCUGAUCUUACCCAAAUCCUGCCCUGGGCUUUCUAGAGCUGAACUGCUCAGUAGAAAGGUAACGUCAUUUAAAAAUACACUCAAGAGAAAAAUAUUAAUCGGAUAUUUUACAUUCUUUUUUUCUUCUGAGUCUUUGACCUCUGAUAUCUACUUUGCCCUUACAGCAGUAAGUGCAAUUCAGUUAAAACUUCAGUUCCUUGGUCUUGCCACACUUCAAAUGCUCAACAGAGAUGUGACUAGAAACCUCUCUAUUGGCCAGUGCAGUGAUACAGGAUAGCGGACAGAUUCACCUCUGUGAAGUCAUUACUCAAACAGAGAUGAUGACAUUGUCAUACAAGCAAUUGACAAUGUGGUUUUGUGUAUUCAAGGAUGAUUUGACUCAAUUAAGCAUUUAUUGGGCACCUUGAUAAGCUGAAGUGGGGAUCACAUCUUUCCCAUCCCUAAACCUUCCUUUUGCAUUAAUUUUUGUGUGUGUUGGUUUUUAUCUUCCCAGGGUGGAGUGCAUUAUAAGGACCCAGUACAUGUUGGAUGAAUGCCCAACCCCAUACGUUGGGAGAUACAGAGAAAGCCUUGAGAUUGACUCUGAACUUAAGAACUUGCCAUCAGGAAGAAGAGGCUGUAUCAACACAAAAUGAUGGGAGAACAUCAUGUUAAAUAUGGUGAAAUGGAAGAGAGGUAUGUCUUUAUCAGCAACAUGAAAAUGGACGAAUACGCCAUCUUCUUGGGAGUUGUCAUUGACAGCGGGAAGUCCUGCGUGGACAGGGGGACUGAAAAUUUCUCCUCAUUUCUGCAUGACCAUUGGUUCUAACAUUUCACCCUGCAAAACUGCCACUUAGUUCUGGGUAAUUGCUCUCAUCUCCUAGUAGAUUUGACCUUGAGUAUCUUAAACUGUCAGGUAGAAUUUACUAAUCACUUUUGCCAUUAUUAUUAUUAUUAUUAUUAUUAUUAUUGGUAGUAGUAGUUGUACUAGUAGCAUUUUUCUCUAUACAUUUAGAGAUCCAUGUGGUCCAGUCUAAGAACAGUGUUACAUUCAGAGACCAAUAAACAAAAACAAUAAAAAUGUAACUAAAAUGUUUUAUUUGUAUCUUUUAGAGACAGCAAAGUUUGAGUCUAAUUAUAAUCUAUUACAAUACUUAGUAAAUUUCUCUCUCCAUGCCCCCAGUACUCCCAGAUGGGUUUUCUAUCUCUCUUUCCCCACCAUCUCUUUCCAUCCCUUAGUAUGGAAUUAGUAUGGGCUGUCUUCUAACAUGAAAUAAUCCUUUUUAUUUACAAAGAGAGUGAGCAAAUACAGGGUUUAAUCAGCAGAUAGAAUAGAAUAAAUCUGGAGACAAUCACACUUUAAUAAUUUUUCUGACCACUUAGUUGUAUAUUAUAAUUCAUUAUUUGUCUUAUUAUUUAAACUGAAUCACAAUAGCCUGCAUUUAUGUAGUCCUUUGUCAAUUCCAAGUGUUUUACAGCCAUAGC